RNAcentral lists this ribosomal RNA (402 nucleotides) under uncultured bacterium. RNAcentral describes it as "bacterial SSU rRNA". It matches the Rfam family "Bacterial small subunit ribosomal RNA", at positions 355 to 774 of the family's 1533-position model. The record is from RNAcentral.
UGGGGAAUAUUGGACAAUGGGGGAAACCCUGAUCCAGCAAUGCCGCGUGAGUGAAGAAGGCCUUAGGGUUGUAAAGCUCUUUCGCCCGCGAAGAUAAUGACGGUAGCGGGAGAAGAAGCCCCGGCUAACUCCGUGCCAGCAGCCGCGGUAAUACGGAGGGGGCUAGCGUUGUUCGGAAUUACUGGGCGUAAAGCGUACGUAGGCGGAUGCGCAAGUUGGGGGUGAAAUCCCGGGGCUUAACCUCGGAAUGGCCCUCAAAACUGCACGUCUUAAGACCGAGAGAGGGAAGGGGAAUUCCUAGUGUAGAGGUGAAAUUCGUAGAUAUUAGGAAGAACACCAGUGGCGAAGGCGCCUUACUGGCUCGGUACUGACGCUGAGGUACGAAAGCGUGGGGAGCAAACA